Molecule: ribosomal RNA, 418 nt
Filed under: uncultured bacterium
Lineage: Bacteria
Description: bacterial SSU rRNA
Rfam family: Bacterial small subunit ribosomal RNA
Source: RNAcentral
AUAUUGGCCAAUGGGCGGAAGCCUGAACCAGCCAUGCCGCGUGCAGGAUGACUGCCCUAUGGGUUGUAAACUGCUUUUGUCCGGGAAUAAACCUCCUUACGAGUAGGGAGCUGAAUGUACCGGAGGAAUAAGGAACGGCUAACUCCGUGCCAGCAGCGGCGGUAAUACGGAGGAUCCGAGCGUUACCCGGAUUUAUUGGGUUUAAAGGGUGCGUAGGCGGCCUGUUAAGUCAGGGGUGAAAUACGGUGGCUCAACCAUCGCAGUGCCUUUGAUACUGACGUGCUUGAAUCCAUAUGAAGUAGGCGGAAUAAGACAAGUAGCGGUGAAAUGCAUAGAUAUGUCUUAGAACUCCGAUUGCGAAGGCAGCUCACUAAGCUGGUAUUGACGCUGAUGCACGAAAGCGUGGGGAUCGAACAGG